This 460-nucleotide ribosomal RNA is filed under the name uncultured bacterium. RNAcentral's name for it is "partial 16S ribosomal RNA". It matches the Rfam family "Bacterial small subunit ribosomal RNA", at positions 338 to 795 of the family's 1533-position model. The record is from RNAcentral.
CCUACGGGUGGCAGCAGUGAGGAAUAUUGGUCAAUGGCCGGAAGGCUGAACCAGCCAUGCCGCGUGAAGGUCAGUGCCCUAUGGGCGUUAAACUUCUUUUGUGCGGGAGCAAUAAUGGUCACGUGUGGCCAGACGAGAGUACCGUACGAAUAAGCAUCGGCUAACUCCGUGCCAGCAGCCGCGGGAAUACAGGGGGUGAAAGCGUUAUCCGGAUUUAUUGGGUUUAAAGGGUGCGUAGGCUGGGAGGUAAGUCAGCGGUGAAAUGCCCCCGCUCAACGGGGUGAAGGGCCAGUGAUACUGCCGUGCUGGAGUGCGGAUGCGGUGGGAGGAAUGUGUGGUGUAGCGGUGAAAUGCAUAGAUAUCAGACAGAACACCGGUUGCGAAGGCAUCUCACGAAUCCGCGAUUGACGCUGAUGCACGAAAGCGUGGGUAUCAAACAGGAUUAGAUACCCGGGUAGUC